GGCGGUGUAGCUCAGUUGGCUAGAGCGUUCGGUUCAUACCCGAAAGGUCAUGGGUUCGACCCCCUUCGCCGCUA
This 74-nucleotide transfer RNA is filed under the name Aerococcaceae bacterium DSM 111176. RNAcentral describes it as "tRNA-Met". It matches the Rfam family "tRNA". From Rfam's summary of the family: Transfer RNA (tRNA) molecules are approximately 80 nucleotides in length. The record is from RNAcentral. RNAcentral also lists the same sequence under 2 other names. Lineage: Bacteria; Bacillati; Bacillota; Bacilli; Lactobacillales; Aerococcaceae.